AACGAACGCUGGCGGCAGGCCUAACACAUGCAAGUCGAGCGAGGACUUCGGUCCUAGCGGCGGACGGGUGAGUAACGCGUGGGAACGUGCCCUUUGCUUCGGAAUAGCCCUGGGAAACUGGGAGUAAUACCGGAUGAGCCCUUUGGGGGAAAGAUUUAUCGGCGAAGGAUCGGCCCGCGUUGGAUUAGGUAGUUGGUGGGGUAAUGGCCUACCAAGCCGACGAUCCAUAGCUGGUUUGAGAGGAUGAGCAGCCACACUGGGACUGAGACACGGCCCAGACUCCUACGGGAUGGAGGAGUGGGGAAUCUUGGAAAAUGGGGGAAACGAUGAUCGAGCCAUGCUUCGUGAGCGAUGAAGGCCUUAGGGUUGUAAAGCUCUUUCAGCUGGGAAGAUAAUGACGGUACCAGCAGAAGAAGCCCCGGCUAACUCCGUG
RNAcentral lists this ribosomal RNA (433 nucleotides) under uncultured bacterium. Its description in RNAcentral is "partial 16S ribosomal RNA". It matches the Rfam family "Bacterial small subunit ribosomal RNA", at positions 29 to 507 of the family's 1533-position model. The record is from RNAcentral.